Molecule: transfer RNA, 59 nt
Filed under: Spizellomyces punctatus DAOM BR117
Lineage: Eukaryota; Fungi; Chytridiomycota; Chytridiomycetes; Spizellomycetales; Spizellomycetaceae
Rfam family: tRNA
About the family: Transfer RNA (tRNA) molecules are approximately 80 nucleotides in length. Their secondary structure includes four short double-helical elements and three loops (D, anti-codon, and T loops).
Source: Rfam by way of RNAcentral
UAGCUCAAUCGGUAGAGCGUGAGAAUUCUUGACCUCAAGAUUGCGGGUUUGACUCCCGC